AUCUUCGGCAAUGGACGGAAGUCUGACCGAGCGACGCCGCGUGUAUGAUGAAGGUCUUCGGAUUGUAAAAUACUGUCGAUAGGGCGGAAAUUUAGGAGGGCAAUCCCUUCUAUUUGACCUAUCUUUUGAGGAAGGACGGGCUAAGUUCGUGCCAGCAGCCGCGGUAAGACGAACUGUUCUAACGUUAUUCGGAAUCACUGGGCUUAAAGGGCGCGUAGGCUGUUUGUUAAGCGGGGUCUGAAAUCCCUCGGCUCAACCGAGGAACUGGGCUUCGAACUGGCAGACUAGAGUGAAGUAGGGGUAAGCGGAACUUGCGGUGGAGCGGUGAAAUGCUUUGAUAUCGCAAGGAACACCGGCGGCGAAGGCGGCUUACUGGGCUUCAACUGACGCUUAAGCGCGAAAGCUAGGGUAGCGAACGGGAUUAGAUACCCCGGUAGUCCUAGCCGUAAACUCUGAGCGCUUGUUCGAGGGAGUUUUUCUUUCUCGAGCGUAGCGAAAGUUUUAAGCGCUCCGCCUGGGGAGUAUGGUCGCAAGGCUGAAACUCAAAGGAAUUGACGGGGGCUCACACAAGCGGUGGAGGAUGUGGCUUAAUUCGAGGCUACGCGAAGAACCUUAUCCUAGGCUUGACAUGCAUGGAUACCCUCCCUGAAAGGGGAGUAAGUUGCUAGCAAUAGUGAAACUUGCACAGGUGCUGCAUGGCUGUCGUCAGCUCGUGUCGUGAGACGUCGGGUUAAGUCCCUUAACGAGCGAAACCCCUAUCGUUAGUUGCCAUCAUUUAGUUGGGCACUUUAGCGAGACUGCCUAAGUUAAUGCGGAGGAAGGCGGGGACGACGUCAAGUCCUCAUGGCCCUUAUGCCUAGGGCUGCACACGUCCUACAAUGGAUUCCACAAAGGGAAGCGACACUGUGAAGUCGAGCAAAUCCCCAAAAAGGGUCCUCAGUUCGGAUUGUAGUCUGCAACUCGACUACAUGAAGCCGGAAUCGCUAGUAAUCGCGGGUCAGCAUACCGCGGUGAAUAAGGUCCUGAGCCUUGUACACACCGCCCGUCAAG
This 1050-nucleotide ribosomal RNA is filed under the name uncultured bacterium. RNAcentral's name for it is "bacterial SSU rRNA". It matches the Rfam family "Bacterial small subunit ribosomal RNA", at positions 361 to 1401 of the family's 1533-position model. The record is from RNAcentral.